AACAAACUGAUGCUCUUGUUAAUGUUACAAAUCAGCAUGAUGGAAAGCUCCUUGGUCCAAUGGCUGCUUCCAGCUGGUUGUGCAUUUAUCCACGAGGGUUUCGAGAACUAUUGCUUUUCAUAAAGAAACAGUACAACAA
Long non-coding RNA from Lathyrus oleraceus (garden pea), 139 nucleotides. RefSeq lists it as uncharacterized. Lineage: Eukaryota; Viridiplantae; Streptophyta; Magnoliopsida; Fabales; Fabaceae. The record is from RefSeq and is a predicted model, not a curated record. The transcript has 3 exons.